UAUCAAUAAGCGGAGGAAAAGAAACCAACAGGGAUUGCCCUAGUAACGGCGAGUGAAGCGGCAACAGCUCAAAUUUGAAAUCUGGCGCAAGCCCGAGUUGUAAUUUGUAGAGGAUGCUUCUGGGCAGCGGCCGGUCUAAGUUCCUUGGAACAGGACGUCACAGAGGGUGAGAAUCCCGUAUGUGACCGGCGCGCACCCUCCACGUAGCUCCUUCGACGAGUCGAGUUGUUUGGGAAUGCAGCUCUAAAUGGGAGGUAAAUUUCUUCUAAAGCUAAAUACCGGCCAGAGACCGAUAGCGCACAAGUAGAGUGAUCGAAAGAUGAAAAGCACUUUGGAAAGAGAGUUAAAAAGCACGUGAAAUUGUUGAAAGGGAAGCGCUUGCAACCAGACUCCGCGGCGGUGUUCCGCCGGUCUUCUGACCGGUCCACUCGCCGCCGCGGGGCCAACAUCGUCUGGGGCCGCCGGACAAGACUGGAGGAAUGUAGCUCCCUCGGGAGUGUUAUAGCCUUCAGUGAUGCGGCGCGUCCCGGGCGAGGUCCGCGCUUCGGCAAGGAUGUUGGCGUAAUGGUUGCCAGCGGCCCGUCUUGAAACACGGACCAAGGAGUCUAACAUCUAUGCGAGUGUUCGGGUGUCAAACCCCUACGCGUAAUGAAAGUGAACGGAGGUGGGAGCUUCGGCGCACCAUCGACCGAUCCUGAUGUCCUCGGAUGGAUUUGAGUAAGAGCAUAGCUGUUGGGACCCGAAAGAUGGUGAACUAUGCCUGAAUAGGGUGAAGCCAGAGGAAACUCUGGUGGAGGCUCGCAGCGG
This 807-nucleotide ribosomal RNA is filed under the name Microcyclosporella mali. RNAcentral's name for it is "eukaryotic LSU rRNA". It matches the Rfam family "Eukaryotic large subunit ribosomal RNA", at positions 41 to 883 of the family's 3401-position model. Lineage: Eukaryota; Fungi; Ascomycota; Dothideomycetes; Mycosphaerellales; Mycosphaerellaceae. The record is from RNAcentral.